RNAcentral lists this long non-coding RNA (246 nucleotides) under Capsicum annuum. RNAcentral describes it as "long non-coding RNA (CANN_LNC018357)". The record is from RNAcentral. Lineage: Eukaryota; Viridiplantae; Streptophyta; Magnoliopsida; Solanales; Solanaceae.
UUGUGUGAUGAAAUAAUAUCUCAUUCGAGAAGCGGAACCAGUUAUGUGGGAUUGAGGAUUGAAUAAUUGAUAAAAGUGAAUACGUAUUUGUUUGGAUUCAUUAUUAGCACUUUAAUUUGGAAUAAUCAUGAAUUUUGUUGAAACAGAUAGGCAAACGUAGGUCGGGUAGGCGAAUGUAGGGAUUGUGGAUUGAUGGAAUAUUUGAGUUGUGUGAUUGAAUGGUUUUUUUUUAGCUAUAUUGUGUUG